This 489-nucleotide ribosomal RNA is filed under the name uncultured bacterium. RNAcentral's name for it is "bacterial SSU rRNA". It matches the Rfam family "Bacterial small subunit ribosomal RNA", at positions 28 to 514 of the family's 1533-position model. The record is from RNAcentral.
GAUGAACGCUAGCGGCAGGCCUAAUACAUGCAAGUCGAACGGUAGAUUUGGUAGCAAUACUGAAUUGAGAGUGACGUAAGGGUGCGUAACACGUAUGCAAUCUGCCCUCAACAGGAGUAUAGCUCGGGGAAACUCGGAUUAACCCUCCAUAAGAUCUUAGGGUGGCAUCACCUAGAGAUUAAAACUUCGGUGGUUGAGGAUGAGCAUGCGCAUGAUUAGUUAGUUGGAGGUGUAACAGACCCCCAAGACGAUGAUCAUUAGGGGAACUGAGAGGUUGAUCCCCCACACUGGCACUGAGAUACGGGCCAGACUCCUACGGGAGGCAGCAGUAGGGAAUAUUGGUCAAUGGGUGAGAGCCUGAACCAGCCAUGCCGCGUGCAGGAAGACGGCCUUCUGGUUGUAAACUGCUUUUAUCUGGGGAUAAAAAGACCGUGCGCGGUUAAUUGAAGGUACCAGAUGAAUAAGCACCGGCUAACUACGUGCCAGCAG